UAUAGGCUGAUUUUGUACCUUAGGAGAAUUAAUUGAAAGCUGAUUCCCCCUUGUCCUCAUGUUGAAACCUAUCUCACUUUUGUGAUUUAGUAGUUACUCUACACUGAAAGCAAUUUGGUCUUUAGUUAGAGAUUACAAGUACAAGUCCCCUCAAAACUGAUUUUGGUUGAUUGUGUGACUAGGAAAGCUGGUGCGCAGGGGCUGUUUUGGAGGAGCAAAAAUGGCAGCUUUGACUUGCCUCUUUUGGUUUUGUAGGUGGGAAAGGAAGGUGUGGCUGUUGUGUUGUUCUCGGGCUAGGCUCGCUCCCCUCGGCCCGAUGGACUGCUCAAAGACUGGCAAUAGUUCGGGCUUGGAGAAGAGGCCCGAAGUGCAUCAAAAUUUAUCUUUUCUUUUCUUUGUUUUCUUUAUUUGAAGCCUUGUUCCAUGUAUUAAUAUUUUUUUGAAGUUAGUAGUUCGUUUAUUGUAUA
Molecule: non-coding RNA, 467 nt
Organism: Salvia hispanica
Lineage: Eukaryota; Viridiplantae; Streptophyta; Magnoliopsida; Lamiales; Lamiaceae
Source: RefSeq, a predicted model, not a curated record